AGGGCUAUAGCUCAGCGGUAGAGCGCCUCGUUUUUUUACCGAGAAUGUCUACGGUUCGAAUCCGUAUAGCCCUAC
RNAcentral lists this transfer RNA (75 nucleotides) under Andreaea rupestris var. fauriei. RNAcentral's name for it is "tRNA-Lys". It matches the Rfam family "tRNA". Rfam says of the family: Transfer RNA (tRNA) molecules are approximately 80 nucleotides in length. Their secondary structure includes four short double-helical elements and three loops (D, anti-codon, and T loops). Further hydrogen bonds mediate the characteristic L-shaped molecular structure. tRNAs have two regions of fundamental functional importance: the anti-codon, which is responsible for specific mRNA codon recognition, and the 3' end, to which the tRNAs corresponding amino acid is attached (by aminoacyl-tRNA synthetases). tRNAs cope with the degeneracy of the genetic code in two manners: having more than one tRNA (with a specific anti-codon) for a particular amino acid; and 'wobble' base-pairing, i.e. permitting non-standard base-pairing at the 3rd anti-codon position. Lineage: Eukaryota; Viridiplantae; Streptophyta; Andreaeopsida; Andreaeales; Andreaeaceae. The record is from RNAcentral.